GAGAGUUUGAUCCUGGCUCAGGACGAACGCUGGCGGCGUGCCUAAUACAUGCAAGUUGAGCGCUGAAGGUUGGUACUUGUACCGACUGGAUGAGCAGCGAACGGGUGAGUAACGCGUGGGGAAUCUGCCUUUGAGCGGGGGACAACAUUUGGAAACGAAUGCUAAUACCGCAUAAAAACUUUAAACACAAGUUUUAAGUUUGAAAGAUGCAAUUGCAUCACUCAAAGAUGAUCCCGCGUUGUAUUAGCUAGUUGGUGAGGUAAAGGCUCACCAAGGCGAUGAUACAUAGCCGACCUGAGAGGGUGAUCGGCCACAUUGGGACUGAGACACGGCCCAAACUCCUACGGGAGGCAGCAGUAGGGAAUCUUCGGCAAUGGACGAAAGUCUGACCGAGCAACGCCGCGUGAGUGAAGAAGGUUUUCGGAUCGUAAAACUCUGUUGGUAGAGAAGAACGUUGGUGAGAGUGGAAAGCUCAUCAAGUGACGGUAACUACCCAGAAAGGGACGGCUAACUACGUGCCAGCAGCCGCGGUAAUACGUAGGUCCCGAGCGUUGUCCGGAUUUAUUGGGCGUAAAGCGAGCGCAGGUGGUUUAUUAAGACUGGUGUAAAAGGCAGUGGCUCAACCAUUGUAUGGAUUGGAAACUGGUAGACUUGAGUGCAGGAGAGGAGAGUGGAAUUCCAUCUGUAGCGGUGAAAUGCGUAGAUAUAUGGAGGAACACCGGUGGCGAAUGCGGCUCUCUGGCCUGUAACUGACACUGAGGCUCGAAAGCGUGGGGAGCAAACAGGAUUAGAUACCCUGGUAGUCCACGCCGUAAACGAUGAGUGCUAGAUGUAGGGAGCUAUAAGUUCUCUGUAUCGCAGCUAACGCAAUAAGCACUCCGCCUGGGGAGUACGACCGCAAGGUUGAAACUCAAAGGAAUUGACGGGGGCCCGCACAAGCGGUGGAGCAUGUGGUUUAAUUCGAAGCAACGCGAAGAACCUUACGAGGUCUUGACAUACUCGUGCUAUUCCUAGAGAUAGGAAUUUCCUUCGGGACACGGGAUACAGGUGGUGCAUGGUUGUCGUCAGCUCGUGUCGUGAGAUGUUGGGUUAAGUCCCGCAACGAGCGCAACCCCUAUUGUUAGUUGCCAUCAUUAAGUUGGGCACUCUAACGAGACUGCCGGUGAUAAACCGGAGGAAGGUGGGGAUGACGUCAAAUCAUCAUGCCCCUUAUGACCUCGGCUACACACGUGCUACAAUGGAUGGUACAACGAGUCGCGAGACAGUGAUGUUUAGCUAAUCUCUUAAAACCAUUCUCAGUUCGGAUUGUAGGCUGCAACUCGCCUACAUGAAGUCGGAAUCGCUAGUAAUCGCGGAUCAGCACGCCGCGGUGAAAACGUUCCCGGGCCUUGUACACACCGCCCGUCACACCACGGGAGUUGGGAGUACCCGAAGUAGGUUGCCUAACCGCAAGGAGGGCGCUUCCUAAGGUAAGACCGAUGACUGGGGUGAAGUCGUAACAAGGUAGCCGU
RNAcentral lists this ribosomal RNA (1511 nucleotides) under Lactococcus lactis subsp. lactis. Its description in RNAcentral is "bacterial SSU rRNA". It matches the Rfam family "Bacterial small subunit ribosomal RNA". The record is from RNAcentral. Lineage: Bacteria; Bacillati; Bacillota; Bacilli; Lactobacillales; Streptococcaceae.